RNAcentral lists this ribosomal RNA (465 nucleotides) under uncultured bacterium. Its description in RNAcentral is "partial 16S ribosomal RNA". It matches the Rfam family "Bacterial small subunit ribosomal RNA", at positions 28 to 507 of the family's 1533-position model. The record is from RNAcentral.
GACGAACGCUGGCGGCGUGCUUAACACAUACAGGUCGAACGGAAAGGCCCUGCUUUCAUGGUACUCUAGUGGCGAACGGGGGAGUAACACGUGGGAGAUCUGCGCUGUACUUCUUGGUAAGCCUGGGAGACUGGGUCUAAUACCGGGGAUGAGCCAUUUUUAGUGUGGGUGGUGGAAAGUUUUUUCGGUGUAGGAUGAGCUCGCGGCCUAUCAGCUUGUUGGUGUGGUAAUGGCCUACAAAGGCGGCGACGGGUAGCCGGCCUGUGAGGGUGGAAGGCCACACUGGGACUCAGAUACGCGCCAGACACCGCCGGGAGGCAGAAGUGGGGAAUAUAGCACAAUGGGCGCAAGCCUGAUGCAGAGCAGCGGCGUGGGGGAUGACGGGCUUUGGGUUGUAAACUCCGUUCGCUAGGGACGAAGCUUUUUGUGAAGGUGACUAGAUAAGAAGCCACGGCUAAAUACGUG